This is a non-coding RNA of Mycena metata, 94 nucleotides long. Lineage: Eukaryota; Fungi; Basidiomycota; Agaricomycetes; Agaricales; Mycenaceae. The record is from the annotation of a GenBank genome assembly.
GACCUGAUAGCACAACUGAUUAGUGUGUCUGCUAGAAAUACGAAGGCUAGACAGGUUUAAGCAGAAGGUUCCCGUUCGACUCGGGGUUAGGUCA